AACGAACGCUGGCGGCGUGGAUAAGACAUGCAAGUCGAACGAUCACUAUUGGGUAGCAAUAUUCGGUAGUGGGAGUGGCGCAAGGGUGCGUAACACGUGGGUAAUUUGCCGUAAAGUCUGGGAUAACUUGCUGAAAGGCGAGCUAAUACCGGAUGUGAUUGCUGGAGGGCAUCCUCUGGCACUUAAAGUCGGGGACCGUAAGGCCUGACACUUUUCGAUAAGCCCGCGGCCUAUCAGCUAGUUGGUGAGGUAACGGCUCACCAAGGCUAAGACGGGUAGCUGGUCUGAGAGGACGACCAGCCUCACUGGGACUGAGACACGGUCCAGACACCUACGGGUGGCAGCAGUCGAGAAUUUUUCNCAAUGGGGGAAACCCUGAAGGAGCGACGCCGCGUGGGGGAUGAAUGGCUUCGGCCCGUAAACCCCUGUCAUUUGCGAUCAAACCUUACGACCUAACACGUCGUGAGCUGAUAGUAGCGGAAGAGGAAGGGACGGCUAACUCUGUGCCAG
Molecule: ribosomal RNA, 510 nt
Filed under: uncultured bacterium
Lineage: Bacteria
Description: bacterial SSU rRNA
Rfam family: Bacterial small subunit ribosomal RNA
Source: RNAcentral